This 500-nucleotide ribosomal RNA is filed under the name uncultured bacterium. Its description in RNAcentral is "bacterial SSU rRNA". It matches the Rfam family "Bacterial small subunit ribosomal RNA", at positions 30 to 524 of the family's 1533-position model. The record is from RNAcentral.
UGAACGCUGGCGGCAGGCUUAACACAUGCAAGUCGAGCGGGGUGAUGUAGCUUGCUACAUUACCUAGCGGCGGACGGGUGAGUAAUGCUUAGGAAUCUGCCUAUUAGUGGGGGACAACAUUCCGAAAGGAAUGCUAAUACCGCAUACGCCCUACGGGGGAAAGCAGGGGAUCUUCGGACCUUGCGCUAAUAGAUGAGCCUAAGUCAGAUUAGCUAGUUGGUGGGGUAAAGGCCUACCAAGGCGACGAUCUGUAGCGGGUCUGAGAGGAUGAUCCGCCACGCUGGGACUGAGACACGGCCCAGACUCCUACGGGAGGCAGCAGUGGGGAAUAUUGGACAAUGGGCGAAAGCCUGAUCCAGCCAUGCCGCGUGUGUGAAGAAGGCCUUCUGGUUGUAAAGCACUUUAAGCGAGGAGGAGGCUACUUGGAUUAAUACUCUAGGAUAGUGGACGUUACUCGCAGAAUAAGCACCGGCUAACUCUGUGCCAGCAGCCGCGGUAAU